GCAAUAACGUAGAGCAGAAGUGUAAAGAUAUUCAUAUAAACAUGCCAGGUGGAUUUGACUCCGAUGCCGAGAAGCUUACCUUUUGAUGGCAAUGUUAAGCAAAUUUGGAAUUUGUUGGAGUUGAAUGCUCCUUUGUGUCGUCUAACGUCCAGAAGGAAAUUCAGACGCAUAAAAACGACUCUUCCUCUAACAUGGGAUUCCUGCAUAAGAAAAAGAGGAAACGUCUCCCACUUUAUUUUUCACGUCGAUCUUUUGAAUAGCCUAUGAGGACAGAAAAGGAAACAGAUUCCCAGCAGAGUGAGCAACAUCUGUCCCAGUAGCAGUAGAAUAGACAAAAAGAAUGCAAAAAAAAAAAAGAGAUGUUCUUAUUCUCUCUGAAAGAAUUGUUUUAUAAGGAUUUAAUCUUACCAGCAAAACUAAAAGAUAAAUACACCAAUGAGAUUUUUACGAUCGGGAAAUAACAUUCAAAGAAAUAAAAUUCUAAAGUGAGGUAA
Molecule: long non-coding RNA, 494 nt
Organism: Argiope bruennichi
Lineage: Eukaryota; Metazoa; Arthropoda; Arachnida; Araneae; Araneidae
Exons: 2
Source: RefSeq, a predicted model, not a curated record